This 432-nucleotide ribosomal RNA is filed under the name uncultured archaeon. RNAcentral's name for it is "bacterial SSU rRNA". It matches the Rfam family "Archaeal small subunit ribosomal RNA", at positions 474 to 903 of the family's 1478-position model. The record is from RNAcentral.
UACCUGCAGCUCGAGUGGUAACCGCUAUUAUUGGGCCUAAAGCGUCCGUAGCCGGUUUGGUAAAUAUCUGGGUAAAUCGUGAGGCUUAACUUCACGAAUUUCGGAUAGACUGCCAGACUUGGGAUCGGGGGAGGUCAGAGGUACUCCAGGGGUAGCGGUGAAAUGUUGUAAUCCUUGGAGGACCACCGGUAGCGAAGGCGUCUGACUAGAACGAGUCCGACGGUGAGGGACGAAGCCCUGGGGGCGCAAACCGGAUUAGAUACCCGGGUAGUCCAGGGUGUAAACGAUGUGGGCUUUGUAUUGGAGGUCCCACGUGGGCGUCCAGUGCAGAAGAGAAGUUGUUAAGCCCACCGCCUGGGAAGUACGGUCGCAAGGCUGAAACUUAAAGGAAUUGGCGGGGGAGCGACCACGAAGGCGUGAAGCUUGCGGUUC